AGGAGUGUAAUUCAGUGGUAGAAUACUUGCUUAGCAUGCAUGAAGCCCUGGGUUAGAUCCCCAGCACCACAA
This 72-nucleotide transfer RNA is filed under the name Ictidomys tridecemlineatus (thirteen-lined ground squirrel). RNAcentral describes it as "Spermophilus tridecemlineatus (thirteen-lined ground squirrel) tRNA". It matches the Rfam family "tRNA". Rfam says of the family: Transfer RNA (tRNA) molecules are approximately 80 nucleotides in length. Their secondary structure includes four short double-helical elements and three loops (D, anti-codon, and T loops). The record is from Rfam by way of RNAcentral. Lineage: Eukaryota; Metazoa; Chordata; Mammalia; Rodentia; Sciuridae.